Molecule: ribosomal RNA, 563 nt
Filed under: Tenuidactylus caspius
Lineage: Eukaryota; Metazoa; Chordata; Lepidosauria; Squamata; Gekkonidae
Description: partial 16S ribosomal RNA
Rfam family: Bacterial large subunit ribosomal RNA
Source: RNAcentral
CGCCUUUAGCUUUACCAAGUAUUAAAGGUCCUGCCUGCCCAGUGAGCCAAACAACUUUAACGGCCGCGGUAUCCUAACCGUGCAAAGGUAGCGUAAUCACUUGCCUCCCAAUUAGAGGCCCGUAUGAACGGCUAACCGAGGACACCCCUGUCUCAUGAAGCCCUACAAUGAACCUGAGCCCCUAGUACAAACGCUAGGAUAACCACAUAAGACAAGAAGACCCUGUGGAGCUUUAAAAUACCCGCCAUUAUAAACCACCAUUACAUAGUCUACAGACUACCACAAGUUGGACCUCAUACGGCCAUUUUAAGUUGGGGCGACUAUGGAACAAAACAAAACUUCCACGCAAAAGGACUUACUAUCCCCCCUAGACCCACACAUCACCGGGCCCAGCGCACAGACCCAGUACUACUGACUAACGAACCAAGUUACCCCAGGGAUAACAGCGCCAUCCCCUUUCAGAGCCCCUAUCGCCAAGGGGGUUUACGACCUCGAUGUUGGAUCAGGGCACCCAGGCGGUGCAGCAGCUGCCAACGGUUCGUUUGUUCAACGAUUAAUGCCCU